ACGGGUGAGUAAUACAUCGGAACGUGCCCUGUAGUGGGGGAUAACUAGUCGAAAGAUUAGCUAAUACCGCAUACGACCUGAGGGUGAAAGUGGGGGACCGCAAGGCCUCAUGCUAUAGGAGCGGCCGAUGUCUGAUUAGCUAGUUGGUGGGGUAAAGGCCCACCAAGGCGACGAUCAGUAGCUGGUCUGAGAGGACGAUCAGCCACACUGGGACUGAGACACGGCCCAGACUCCUACGGGAGGCAGCAGUGGGGAAUUUUGGACAAUGGGGGCAACCCUGAUCCAGCAAUGCCGCGUGUGUGAAGAAGGCCUUCGGGUUGUAAAGCACUUUUGUCCGGAAAGAAAUCGCACUUACUAAUAUUAGGUGUGGAUGACGGUACCGGAAGAAUAAGGACCGGCUAACUACGUGCCAGCAGCCGCGGUAAUACGUAGGGUCCAAGCGUUAAUCGGAAUUACUGGGCGUAAAGCGUGCGCAGGCGGUUGUGCAAGACCGAUGUGAAAUCCCCGGGCUUAACCUGGGAAUUGCAUUGGUGACUGCACGGCUAGAGUGUGUCAGAAGGGGGUAGAAUUCCACGU
This 576-nucleotide ribosomal RNA is filed under the name uncultured bacterium. RNAcentral describes it as "bacterial SSU rRNA". It matches the Rfam family "Bacterial small subunit ribosomal RNA", at positions 102 to 674 of the family's 1533-position model. The record is from RNAcentral.